Molecule: long non-coding RNA, 1241 nt
Organism: Eucalyptus grandis
Lineage: Eukaryota; Viridiplantae; Streptophyta; Magnoliopsida; Myrtales; Myrtaceae
Exons: 3
Source: RefSeq, a predicted model, not a curated record
UGAGAGUGAAACUCUAGAUUUCUCAUCAUUUGUUCCUAGCCAUUUUGCUGCCUUGCAGCUAUUAUAAUGAAAGAUGUUGAUUUUAUGCCAUUUAAUUUUCUAUAUUCUUCUUAUCAUUAAAGUGCAAAAUCUAGGGGAUUGAGAACGUCAUCAUGUGCACAUCGGAUGCUGUGCUAAGGAAGAAAGCUUUUGAUGUAUUGGAAAGGAUUAGUGUUUUUUACUUAAGAUGUCUGCUCUUGCAUCACUAAACAGCAAUGAACCGCUCAAGAGGAAAUUGAAGUAGUGGAAGAGUUUUUGAAGCAUAGGUAAGGGGUUUUGGCUCCAAUAGGUAAGGGGUUUUGGCUCCAAAAUUGCCGAACUCAUUAUAUGGCCGAUAUUUGCUAAUUUGCCUAUAGAUCUUCAAGCAAAGAUAUUUUAACCCACGCCAGAAGGUGCUGGUAAGGUGGUCCUUGCGACAAAUGGUUUUAAGGUUGUAUUUAUAAUUGAUUCGUGCAGAGCAUAACUGGAUACAUAAUGUGGACGGGGCUCCCAACGUUUCACUUGGACAAAAUGUCCGGAUGAGGAUAAAGCAAUUCGCUUUUAUGAAUAAGUUCAAGAAGAAAGUUCUCAGAGUAGUAGCAGACAAUUUGCCUGAUGAGCAAGUGGAUCAUAUCAAAGAGAUGUUCGACGUGAUGGACACCAAUAAAAAUGGAGAUUUGACAUUUGAAGAGUUGAAACAUGGCUUGCACAAAUAUGGACAGCAAGUUGCUGAUCCUGAUGUGCAGAUGUUGAUGGACGCAAUAAGAUCACCUAUUCAACAGCUUAGCACAUUUUGAAUUCUUUGACAAGAAUUGAAGUGGAUAUAUUGAAUUCAAUGAGUUGAAAGAAGCUUUGAUAGAUGACAAUCUUCGUCCGAACAACGAAAACUUUAUUGAAGACAUCAUUUCCGAUGCUGAUCUAGAUAAGGAUGGUCGAAUCAGUUAUGAUGAAUUCAAGGCCAUGAUGAAAAUGGGCAUGGACUGGAAAAUGGCUUCACACCAGUAGUCAAGAGCGAUGCUGAACGCGCUUAGUCAGAAGAUGUUCAAAGACAAACCUUCUUCUCUCAUAGGCUAAAAGAUGUUCCACCCAUGGCUUCUCUCAUAGGGUAUUGGGAAGGAGGCAUUGUACAAAAUCAUUGCAUUGGUUUGCUAGUGUAGGGACAUAAGUGCUGUGAAAAUUUUGAAGAAAUUGGGUAUAAAUAGUCAGAUUCCUACACCGCUUGG